GUGAGGAAUAUUGGUCAAUGGGCGAGAGCCUGAACCAGCCAAGUCGCGUGAAGGAAGAAGGAUCUAUGGUUCGUAAACUUCUUUUGCAGGGGAAUAAAGUGCGGGACGUGUCCUGUUUUGUAUGUACCCUGAGAAUAAGGAUCGGCUAACUCCGUGCCAGCAGCCGCGGUAAUACGGAGGAUCCGAGCGUUAUCCGGAUUUAUUGGGUUUAAAGGGUGCGUAGGUGGUUUGAUAAGUCAGCGGUGACAGUUUGCAGCUUAACUGUAAAAAUGCCGUUGAGACUGUCGGACUUGAGUGUAAAUGAGGUAGGCGGAAUGCGUGGUGUAGCGGUGAAAUGCAUAGAUAUCACGCAGAACUCCGAUUGCGAAGGCAGCUUACUAGGCUACAACUGACACUGAAGCACGAAAGCGUGGGGAUCAAACAGGAUUAGAUACCCCGGUAGUCC
RNAcentral lists this ribosomal RNA (445 nucleotides) under uncultured bacterium. RNAcentral's name for it is "partial 16S ribosomal RNA". It matches the Rfam family "Bacterial small subunit ribosomal RNA", at positions 354 to 796 of the family's 1533-position model. The record is from RNAcentral.